GGAGAAGUGGCCGAGUGGCCUAAGGCGCACGCCUGGAAAGCGUGUAACCGUCAAAAGCGGUUCGAGGGUUCGAAUCCCUCCUUCUCCG
RNAcentral lists this transfer RNA (88 nucleotides) under Bacteroidales bacterium. RNAcentral describes it as "tRNA-Ser". It matches the Rfam family "tRNA". From Rfam's summary of the family: Transfer RNA (tRNA) molecules are approximately 80 nucleotides in length. Their secondary structure includes four short double-helical elements and three loops (D, anti-codon, and T loops). Further hydrogen bonds mediate the characteristic L-shaped molecular structure. tRNAs have two regions of fundamental functional importance: the anti-codon, which is responsible for specific mRNA codon recognition, and the 3' end, to which the tRNAs corresponding amino acid is attached (by aminoacyl-tRNA synthetases). tRNAs cope with the degeneracy of the genetic code in two manners: having more than one tRNA (with a specific anti-codon) for a particular amino acid; and 'wobble' base-pairing, i.e. permitting non-standard base-pairing at the 3rd anti-codon position. The record is from RNAcentral. Lineage: Bacteria; Pseudomonadati; Bacteroidota; Bacteroidia; Bacteroidales.